GCCCCCUUCGUCUAGUGGCCUAGGACAUUGGAUUCUCAGUCCAAAGACAGGGGUUCGACUCCCCUAGGGGGUG
This 73-nucleotide transfer RNA is filed under the name Planctomycetales bacterium. RNAcentral's name for it is "tRNA-Glu". It matches the Rfam family "tRNA". Rfam says of the family: Transfer RNA (tRNA) molecules are approximately 80 nucleotides in length. The record is from RNAcentral. Lineage: Bacteria; Pseudomonadati; Planctomycetota; Planctomycetia; Planctomycetales.